RNAcentral lists this unclassified non-coding RNA (228 nucleotides) under plant metagenome. RNAcentral describes it as "partial contains small subunit ribosomal RNA, internal transcribed spacer 1, and 5.8S ribosomal RNA". The record is from RNAcentral.
UUUCCGUAGGUGAACCUGCGGAAGGAUCAUUACAGUGUUCCCUGCCCUUCGGGGUAGGAUCGCCACCCUUGAUUAUUUAUGAGUGUUGCUUUGGCGGGCCUCGCGGCCUGGCCGCGCCCCGGCUUCGGCGGGGGAGCGCCCGCCAGAGGAUUCUACAAACCUGAUUAUUAGUGUCGUCUGAGUACUAUAUAAUAGUUAAAACUUUCAACAACGGAUCUCUUGGUCCUG